Molecule: ribosomal RNA, 223 nt
Filed under: Chaetoceros curvisetus
Lineage: Eukaryota; Bacillariophyta; Thalassiosirophyceae; Chaetocerotales; Chaetocerotaceae
Description: partial Bacterial small subunit ribosomal RNA
Rfam family: Bacterial small subunit ribosomal RNA
Source: RNAcentral
CGUGCGCAGGCGGUUAUAUAAGACAGAUGUGAAAUCCCCGGGCUCAACCUGGGAACUGCAUCCAAAACUGGCAAGCUAGAGUAUGGUAGAGGGUGGUGGAAUUUCCUGUGUAGCGGUGAAAUGCGUAGAUAUAGGAAGGAACACCAGUGGCGAAGGCGACCACCUGGACUGAUACUGACACUGAGGUGCGAAAGCGUGGGGAGCAAACAGGAUUAGAUACCCU